UACGUAGGUGGCAAGCGUUGUCCGGAUUUACUGGGUGUAAAGGGCGUGUAGGCGGGACUGCAAGUCAGAUGUGAAAUUCCGGGGCUCAACCCCGGCGCUGCAUCUGAAACUGCAGUUCUUGAGUGCUGGAGAGGAAAGCGGAAUUCCUAGUGUAGCGGUGAAAUGCGUAGAUAUUAGGAGGAACACCAGUGGCGAAGGCGGCUUUCUGGACAGUAACUGACGCUGAGGCGCGAAAGCGUGGGGAGCAAACAGG
This 253-nucleotide ribosomal RNA is filed under the name uncultured bacterium. RNAcentral describes it as "partial 16S ribosomal RNA". It matches the Rfam family "Bacterial small subunit ribosomal RNA", at positions 524 to 776 of the family's 1533-position model. The record is from RNAcentral.